AAGGUCUGACCUGCCCACUGAAGUAUUUAAAGGGCCGCAGUAUUCUAACUGUGCAAAGGUAGCAUAAUCAUUAGUCUUUUAAUUGGAGGCUGGUAUGAACGGUUGGACGAGGUAUAAGCUGUUUCAUAUAAAUUUAUAAUAGAAUUUUAUAUUUUAGUUAAAAAGCUAAAAUGAUAUUAAAAGACGAGAAGACCCUAUAAAUCUUUAUACUUUACUUUAUUUAAGUUUUGUGGAUUUAUUUUACUUUUAUAGUGAGGGGUAUUUUAUUGGGGUGAUAUUAAAAUUUAAUUAACUUUUAAUUGUUAUGAAAUCAUUGAUUUAUGGUUUAUUGAUCCGUUAUUGGCGAUUAUGARAUUAAGUUACUUUAGGGAUAACAGCGUAAUUUUUUUGGAGAGUUCUUAUCGAUAAAAGAGUUUGCGACCUCGAUGUUGGAUUAAGAGAUAUUUUUAGGUGUAGCCGCUUAAAU
Molecule: ribosomal RNA, 466 nt
Filed under: Bactrocera tsuneonis (Japanese orange fly)
Lineage: Eukaryota; Metazoa; Arthropoda; Insecta; Diptera; Tephritidae
Description: partial large subunit ribosomal RNA
Source: RNAcentral